ACAGCCAUAUCAUAUUCAAAUGCUGGUCCCCAUAUGAUCACCAAAGUUAAGCAACAUCGAGCCUGGUCAAUACCUAGAUGAGUGACUGCUCGGGAAUAGUAUGUGCUGUAAG
Acanthosepion pharaonis is the source of this 112-nucleotide non-coding RNA. The record is from the annotation of a GenBank genome assembly. NCBI's taxonomy places the organism in Eukaryota, Metazoa, Mollusca, Cephalopoda, Sepiida, Sepiidae.